CGGGAAUGAGUUUUGUAAAUUUUCUACUGUUUCGCGUGGUAUCCCGAUCCCCAUUGCUUGCAUUUUUGUUACGUUAAGCUUGUAGUAUGAUUGUUCCCCAUAUAUUUCUAUUUCCCUCAACAGGUUUGGGAGCGACAGGUGUGGUUGUGUUAGUGUCAGCAGGAUGUCAUCCGCGAAAAGGUUUGCUUUAUAUUCCCUUCUCCCUAUCUCUAGGCUGUGUAUUGCGGGGUUUUCUCUAAUUUUAAUUGCUAUCGGCUCCAGCGCCAACACAUAGAGCAGCGGGGACAGGG
Molecule: non-coding RNA, 290 nt
Organism: Pelobates cultripes (western spadefoot toad)
Lineage: Eukaryota; Metazoa; Chordata; Amphibia; Anura; Pelobatidae
Source: the annotation of a GenBank genome assembly